Molecule: ribosomal RNA, 253 nt
Filed under: uncultured bacterium
Lineage: Bacteria
Description: partial 16S ribosomal RNA
Rfam family: Bacterial small subunit ribosomal RNA
Source: RNAcentral
GACGGAAGGUGCAAGCGUUGCUCGGAAUCACUGGGCGUAGAGGGUGCGUAGGCGGCUUGGUGGGUCUGGUGUGAAAGCCCCGGGCUCAGCCCGGGAAGGGCGCUAGAAACUGCCGAGCUCGAGUGCCGGAGGGGAGAGUGGAAUUCCUGGUGUAGCGGUGAAAUGCGUAGAUAUCAGGAGGAAUACCGGUGGCGAAAGCGACUCUCUGGACGGCAACUGACGCUGAGGCACGAAAGCGUGGGGAGCAAACAGG